AUGCUUGCUUCGGCAGCACAUAUACUAAAACUGGAACAAUAUAGAGAAGAUUAGCAUGGCCCCUGCACAAGGAUGACACACAAAUUCAUGAAGCAUUCAAAGCCUAA
This is a small nuclear RNA of Phascolarctos cinereus (koala), 107 nucleotides long. The record is from Ensembl. Lineage: Eukaryota; Metazoa; Chordata; Mammalia; Diprotodontia; Phascolarctidae.